AGGGGUGUAGUUCAGUGGUAGAGCAUGUGCUUAGCAUACACACGAUCCUAGGUUUGACCCUCAGCACUUCAC
Molecule: transfer RNA, 72 nt
Filed under: Marmota marmota marmota (Alpine marmot)
Lineage: Eukaryota; Metazoa; Chordata; Mammalia; Rodentia; Sciuridae
Also listed under: 1 other name
Rfam family: tRNA
About the family: Transfer RNA (tRNA) molecules are approximately 80 nucleotides in length. Their secondary structure includes four short double-helical elements and three loops (D, anti-codon, and T loops). Further hydrogen bonds mediate the characteristic L-shaped molecular structure. tRNAs have two regions of fundamental functional importance: the anti-codon, which is responsible for specific mRNA codon recognition, and the 3' end, to which the tRNAs corresponding amino acid is attached (by aminoacyl-tRNA synthetases). tRNAs cope with the degeneracy of the genetic code in two manners: having more than one tRNA (with a specific anti-codon) for a particular amino acid; and 'wobble' base-pairing, i.e. permitting non-standard base-pairing at the 3rd anti-codon position.
Source: Rfam by way of RNAcentral